RNAcentral lists this microRNA precursor (105 nucleotides) under Trifolium pratense (red clover). RNAcentral's name for it is "pre miRNA mir-166". It matches the Rfam family "mir-166 microRNA precursor family". Rfam says of the family: This family represents the plant microRNA (miRNA) precursor mir-166. Animal miRNAs are transcribed as ~70nt precursors and subsequently processed by the Dicer enzyme to give a ~22nt product. The record is from Rfam by way of RNAcentral. Lineage: Eukaryota; Viridiplantae; Streptophyta; Magnoliopsida; Fabales; Fabaceae.
GAUGAGAGGAACGUUGUCUGGCUCGAGGUGAUAGAGAUGAUGGAAGAGUACUUAACUCAUUCAUCACUAACUCCCAAUCUCGGACCAGGCUUCAUUCCCCUCAAC